CAAUAGCGUAUAUUAAUGUUGUUGCAGUUAAAAAGCUCGUAGUUGGAUUUCUGCGUCGCGCAGCUCGGUCCGCCGCAAUGCGGUGCGACUGUGGCUGGAGCGUCGCAUCCUUGUGGAGACCUUUGAUGCCAUUGAUUUGGUGUUGAAUGGGAACCGCAUCGUUUACUGUGAAAAAAUUAGAGUGUUCAAAGCAGGCAUAGGCCGUGAAUACAUUAGCAUGGAAUAAUAAGAUAGGACUUUGGUUCUAUUUUGUUGGUCGGAGGCCAAGGUAAUGAUUAAUAGGGAUAGUUGGGGGUAUUCAUAUUUAAUUGUCAGAGGUGAAAUUCUUGGAUUUAUGAAAGAUGAACUUAUGUGAAANCANNNACCAAGGAUGUUUUCAUNAA
This 383-nucleotide ribosomal RNA is filed under the name uncultured eukaryote. RNAcentral's name for it is "partial 18S ribosomal RNA". It matches the Rfam family "Eukaryotic small subunit ribosomal RNA", at positions 592 to 976 of the family's 1831-position model. The record is from RNAcentral.